CAAUAGCGUAUAUUAAAGUUGUUGCGGUUAAAAAGCUCGUAGUUGGAGUUCUGCCAGGUGCCGCCUGUCCGCCCCAGUGGUGAGUACGUGGCGCGCAUUUGGCCCUUUCAAGGGGAGCGUAUCUGCACUUUAUUGUGUGGUGCGGGAUCCUUGACUUUUACUUUGAGGAAAAGAGAGUGCUCCAAGCAGGCAAACGCCUGAAUACGUUAGCAUGGAAUAAUAGCAUCGGAUCAUCGUUCAGCUGUUGGUGUCUGGACGAGGAUAAAGGUGAACAGGGAUUGUUGGGGGCAUUCGUAUUUAACUGUCAGAGGUGAAAUUCUUGGAUUUGUUGAAGACGAGCUACUGCGAAAGCAUUUGCCAAAGAUGUUCUCAUUGAUCAAGAACGAAAGUUAGGUGAUCGAAGAUGAUCAGAUACCAU
This 418-nucleotide ribosomal RNA is filed under the name uncultured eukaryote. RNAcentral's name for it is "bacterial SSU rRNA". It matches the Rfam family "Eukaryotic small subunit ribosomal RNA", at positions 592 to 1018 of the family's 1831-position model. The record is from RNAcentral.